RNAcentral lists this ribosomal RNA (399 nucleotides) under uncultured bacterium. Its description in RNAcentral is "bacterial SSU rRNA". It matches the Rfam family "Bacterial small subunit ribosomal RNA", at positions 29 to 406 of the family's 1533-position model. The record is from RNAcentral.
AACGAACGCUGGCGGCGUGCCUAACACAUGCAAGUCGUGCGAGAAAGUUCCUUCGGGAGCGAGUAAAGCGGCGCACGGGUGAGUAACACGUAGGUAACCUGCCCCCCAGUCUGGAACAACUAGAGGAAACUACUAGCUAAUGCCGGAUGAGACCACGAUCCCUUCGGGGGUUGGCGGCCAAAGAUGGCCUCUACUUGUAAGCUAUCGCUGAGGGAUGGGCCGUGCGGGCCAUUAGCUUGUUGGUGAGGUAACGGCUCACCAAGGCUGUGAUGGCUAGCUGGUCUGAGAGGAUGACCAGCCACACUGGGGACUGAGGACACGGCCCCAGACUCCUACGGGAGGCAGCAGUGGGGAAUAUUGCGCAAUGGGCGAAAGCUGACGCAGCGACGCCGCGUGGGU